GCCCGGUUAGCUCAAUCGGCAGAGCGUGGGACUGUGAGUUAACCUGCUAAAAAAUUAACAAUUUAUGUUCUGUAACUAAUUCCAAACCCAGUUUAUCCAAGAAAGUACAAUCCCAAGGUUGCGAGUUCGACCCUCGCAUCGGGCG
Non-coding RNA from Aspergillus egyptiacus, 145 nucleotides. Lineage: Eukaryota; Fungi; Ascomycota; Eurotiomycetes; Eurotiales; Aspergillaceae. The record is from the annotation of a GenBank genome assembly.